RNAcentral lists this unclassified non-coding RNA (262 nucleotides) under Hevea brasiliensis (rubber tree). The record is from RNAcentral. Lineage: Eukaryota; Viridiplantae; Streptophyta; Magnoliopsida; Malpighiales; Euphorbiaceae.
GUAUGGGAGCUGCAGGAGCUGCUGUUCAGUAUUUGGGUUAUACUCCUGGACUUUUUAUUGUUGGACUCUUUGCUAUUUUAAUUCUGUGGAUGUAUGCUAACUUCUGGAUAACUGGAACAUUGUUUAUAGUUGGAGGUUACCUCUUCUCUCUGAAUCAUGCACGUUUGGUGGUCUUCAUGGCGACUGUAUAUGCUAUUUAUUGUGUGAAAGUUCGAGUUGGAUGGCAUGGUGUUUUUCUAUCAAUAAACCUUACAUUUUUAUC